GAGGGGUUCCAAUGGAGAAGAUGGCAGCCUAUAGCUCAUCCAAGGCAGCUCUGACCAUGUUUUCAGCAGUCAUGAGACAAGAGCUAUCCAAAUGGGGAGUUAAAGUCUCUGUCAUCCAGCCUGGAGGCUUCCGAACAAACAUCACAGGCACGAGUGACAUGUGGGACAAGCUGGAGAAAAACAUCCUGGACCACCUCACCCCUGACGUGCAAGAGGACUACGGCCAGGACUAUAUCCUUAGGGAACGCAAUUUUCUCACGUUAAUGCAAACCUACUCUGUAAUGGACAUCUCCCCAGUGCUCCUGGACGUCCAGCAUGCCAUCUCUGCUAAGAGCCCCUUUGCAUUUUAUGCACCGGGGAAAAUGACUUAUCUGUGGCUCUGCUUUGUUUCCCUUAGCCCUACUGGCAUAUUUGAUUAUUUUAACAAAAAAAUGCACAGCUAUGGAAGGAGCACGCCCAGAGUGUUAAGCAUGCCUAACUGGAAGAAUGAGGCCAUGUAGGCAAAUCAGUGGGAAAUGUUAGAGUCUUGGAAUGAAAGGGAAUCUCGAGCUUCCCAUUAAAGUUGUGGUUUCCUACCUUGCA
Molecule: RNA transcript, 582 nt
Organism: Physeter macrocephalus (sperm whale)
Lineage: Eukaryota; Metazoa; Chordata; Mammalia; Artiodactyla; Physeteridae
Exons: 2
Source: RefSeq, a predicted model, not a curated record